AGCAGCCGCGGUAAUUCCAGCUCCAAUAGCGUAUAUUAAAGUUGUUGCAGUUAAAAAGCUCGUAGUUGAACCUCGGGGUCUACCCAUUGGUCAGGCUUAAUUGUCUGCACUGGUGAGAUGGAUCUCUACCUUCUGAGGAACUUUCAUGCCAUUUAUUUGGUGUGAUGGGAAAUCAGGACUGUUACUUUGAAAAAUUAGAGUGUUUAAAGCAGACUAUCGUCUGAAUACAUUAGCAUGGAAUAAUGAAAUAGGACGGACUGAUUCUAUUUCGUUGGUUUCUAGGAUCACCGUAAUGAUUAAUAGGGAUAGUUGGGGGCAUUAGUAUUCAAUUGUCAGAGGUGAAAUUCUUGGAUUUAUUGAAGACUAACUACUGCGAAAGCAUUUGCCAAGGAUGUUUUCAUUAAUCAAGAACGAAAGUUAGGGGAUCGAAGACGAUCAGAUACCGUCGUAGUCUUAACCAUAAACUAUGCCGACUAGGGAUCGGAUGAUGUUAAUUUUAUAAUGA
Molecule: ribosomal RNA, 505 nt
Filed under: uncultured Diversispora
Lineage: Eukaryota; Fungi; Glomeromycota; Glomeromycetes; Diversisporales; Diversisporaceae
Description: SSU rRNA
Rfam family: Eukaryotic small subunit ribosomal RNA
Source: RNAcentral